UUCCGUAGGUGAACCUGCGGAAGAUCAUUAAUAAAUUUUUUAGGUUGAAAUUUGAAACCUAAAAUAUAAUAAUCCUACCCUUUGUGAAUUUGUCGUUUGAAAUAAUUUUUAAAAAAAUUAUUUAUAGUUUGUCUAUCCUGAGUUGUAAGAGAAGUAAAAUUCUUGAAAGCUUAGGAAUAGCUUUAUCUAUAAAUAAUGAUUUUAAAGACCUUUUUUAAAUUAAACUUUUGUAUUCAUUUGUCUAAAUUUAUUUUUAAUAAUUUAAAAACAACUUUUGACAAUGGAUCUCUUGGUUCUCGCAACGAUGAAGAACGCAGCAAAAUGCGAUAAGUAAUGUGAAUUGCAGAUACGUGAAUCAUCAAAUCUUCGAACGCAUAUUGCACUUUUUUAGUUUACUAAAAAGUAUGUCUGUUUGAGUAUCAGUAAAUAUUCUCAUAAAAAUUUAUUUUUUAUGGUUUUGAGUGUUUUACAACGAUACAAGUUGUUCACUUUAAAUUGACUUUAAAUUGCCUAUUAAUUAGUCAAUUUUUAAAAUUGCAUAAAAUUUUCCCGUAAAAGGAAUAACCUAUCAAUUUAAAAUUAACUGAUAUUAAAAGGCUUGAUAAAAGGAAAUUUAAUUAAAUAACUUGAUCUCAAAUCAGAUAAGAGUACCCGCUGAACUUAAGCAUAUCAAUAAGCGGAGGAAAAGAAACUAACAAGGAUUCCCUAGUAACGGCGAGUGAGCGGAAGAGCUCAAUUUGAAAUCUUCAAGGUUUGACCUUGACGAAUUGUAGUUUAAAGAAGUGUUUCGGUUAGAGGAGUGGUAAAAGUUCUUGGAAUAGGACAUCAUAGAGGGUGAGAAUCCCGUAUUUGACCAUUCUUUCUAGCUUGUGAUACACUUUCAAGAGUCGGAUUGUUGGAAUGCAGUCCAAAAUGGUGGUAAAUUUCAUCUAAAGCUAAAUAUUGGCGAGAGACGAUAGCGAACAAGUACCGUGAGGGAAAGAUGAAAGAACUUUGAAAAGAGAGUUAAACAGUACGUGAAAUUGUCAAAAGGAAGCGUUGACACCAGUGUUGUUUUCCGAAAAUCAAUUAAAAUGGAUUCAUGCAAGUGUAUUGCCUAUCAGCUUGCAAUUGUUUUGGUUUUUUUGAUGCACUUUUCGGUUAACAAGUCAACAUCAAUUUCCUUUGCUGUAAAAGGCAGAGGAAGGUGCUUCAAUUUCGGUUGAAGUGUUUAUAGCCUUUGUCUCUGCAGUCGGGAGAUUGAGGUCUGCAGGUAGAUCCUUCGGUUAGAUACAUUCGUGCUAAGUUAUAGCCUUUUAUAGACAACUUGUUGACUAUGAUCG
RNAcentral lists this unclassified non-coding RNA (1322 nucleotides) under uncultured Neocallimastigales. RNAcentral describes it as "partial contains small subunit ribosomal RNA, internal transcribed spacer 1, 5.8S ribosomal RNA, internal transcribed spacer 2, and large subunit ribosomal RNA". The stretch from base 628 to 1322 matches the Rfam family "Eukaryotic large subunit ribosomal RNA", at positions 1 to 637 of the family's 3401-position model. Lineage: Eukaryota; Fungi; Neocallimastigomycota; Neocallimastigomycetes; Neocallimastigales. The record is from RNAcentral.